CCUACGGGAGGCAGCAGUGAGGAAUAUUGGUCAAUGGACGAGAGUCUGAACCAGCCAAGUCGCGUGAAGGAUGACUGCCCUAUGGGUUGUAAACUUCUUUUAUAUGGGAAUAAAACAGGGUAUGCAUACCCUCUUGCAUGUACUUUAUGAAUAAGGAUCGGCUAACUCCGUGCCAGCAGCCGCGGUAAUACGGAGGAUCCGAGCGUUAUCCGGAUUUAUUGGGUUUAAAGGGAGCGUAGAUGGGUUGUUAAGUCAGUGGUGAAAUUUUGCGGCUCAACCGUAAAAUUGCAAUUGAUACUGGCAGUCUUGAGUACAGGUGAGGUAGGCGGAAUUCGUGGUGUAGCGGUGAAAUGCUUAGAUAUCACGAAGAACCCCGAUUGCGAAGGCAGCUUACUAAACUGUGACUGACAUUGAUGCUCGAAAGUGUGGGUAUCAAACAGGAUUAGAUACCCGAGUAGUC
RNAcentral lists this ribosomal RNA (460 nucleotides) under uncultured bacterium. RNAcentral describes it as "partial 16S ribosomal RNA". It matches the Rfam family "Bacterial small subunit ribosomal RNA", at positions 338 to 795 of the family's 1533-position model. The record is from RNAcentral.